CACGUGGUUUCUUCUUUUGUUGGAGCUGGCUGAGCGGUUUGUAGAAAGUACUAAUAUGGAGAAAGAGCGCAGCGCUACACGCGGAGCACAGAGACACACAGAGGAGGUGGGAGAUCUGGACUGGAUACAUAAAGACUGUGAGACGGUUCUGCAGAACUACCCGUGGCUCAGUGCUGUUUUCCACCGAUUUUAAAGCGGCUAUUAUUUCUACAGAAUCUCCAAAAUGUCCUGGGAGGUGACUAAGACAGAACUCUCCACAGCUCGGUGCCCUUUUCCAGUGGAUUUGAAGCUUUUGUUUCUACAGAAUCUCCAGAAUGUCUUUGGAGCUGUUUGAGACGGAACUCUCCAUGGCAGUGCCCUUUUCCAGUGGAUGUGAAGAGGCUGUUUCUACAGAAUGUCUUGGGAGAUGAUUGAGACAGAAACUAUGCGAUCCAAAGGCUACAUGAUUGUGCACGUCUCGUGAACUUGGAGAAGAUGUCCAGGCCAUACCGAACUGCCAACAGAUCUGGCCAUCUGGAAAUGUGUGUGUGUAACACAGAAUGGGCUUUGGUUGAAGUGGAUAUGGGAGAUUCAUCUAGUUAUUUACAGAGGUUGAAGUGGAUAUGGGAGAUUCAUCUUGUUAUACCAGAGGUGGUUUGCCCAGCUAUGAUAUGAAGAGCAUCCAUAAUGCCUAAUUAUCUUCAGUGAUGACUUGGAGAUUGAAAUGUGUGGACAAUUCAACUUCGUUUCCAUCAACUGGACACCAUUUUCUCUGGACGUCAUGUGCUGUGGGACUGCAGACUAUUUUUAUCUAACGUGAUACUGCAUAUCGGUUUAGUUAAUUGACUUUCAAAUCAGUCCCAAUGAGUUUAGAAAUUAAAUUAACUAUGAUAAGGGUCAUAUCUGGGGUAUUUAUUUAGCACCCAAGUCAUCUGCUGGUAAAAAGGAGGAAAGUAUGUUGACUGACAA
Astyanax mexicanus (Mexican tetra) is the source of this 948-nucleotide long non-coding RNA. RefSeq lists it as uncharacterized. The transcript is spliced from 9 exons. The record is from RefSeq and is a predicted model, not a curated record. Lineage: Eukaryota; Metazoa; Chordata; Actinopteri; Characiformes; Acestrorhamphidae.